CCUACGGGUGGCAGCAGUGAGGAAUAUUGGUCAAUGGACGCAAGACUGAACCAGCCACGCCGCGUGCGGGAAGACGGUCCUGAGUGUUGUAAACCUCUUUUGUAAGGGAGUAAAGCCUGGGACGCGUACCCGGAUGAGUGUACCUUAAGAAUAAGGAUCGGCUAACUCCGUGCCAGCAGCCGCGGUAAUACGGAGGAUGCGAGCGUUAUCCGGAUUUAUUGGGUUUAAAGGGUGCGUAGGCGGUGUGUUAAGUCAGCGGGGAAAUCCCGGGGCUCAACUCCGGCACUGCCUGUGAUACUGGCAGUCUCGAGUUGAGUUGAGGUAGGCGGAAUGUAUGGUGUAGCGGUGAAAUGCAUAGAGAUCGUGCAGAACACCGAUUGCGAAGGCAGCAUGCCG
This 396-nucleotide ribosomal RNA is filed under the name uncultured bacterium. Its description in RNAcentral is "partial 16S ribosomal RNA". It matches the Rfam family "Bacterial small subunit ribosomal RNA", at positions 338 to 731 of the family's 1533-position model. The record is from RNAcentral.